This 253-nucleotide ribosomal RNA is filed under the name uncultured bacterium. RNAcentral describes it as "partial 16S ribosomal RNA". It matches the Rfam family "Bacterial small subunit ribosomal RNA", at positions 524 to 776 of the family's 1533-position model. The record is from RNAcentral.
UACAGAGGGUGCGAGCGUUAAUCGGAAUUACUGGGCGUAAAGAGUGCGUAGGUGGUUGGAUAAGUCAGAUGUGAAAGCCCUAGGCUCAACCUGGGAAUGGCGUUUGAUACUGUUUAGCUAGAGGAUGGGAGAGGGAAGUGGAAUUUCCGGUGUAGCGGUGAAAUGCGUAGAUAUCGGAAGGAACACCAGUGGCGAAGGCGGCUUCCUGGACCAUUACUGACACUGAGGCACGAAAGCGUGGGGAGCGAACAGG